This 377-nucleotide ribosomal RNA is filed under the name uncultured bacterium. Its description in RNAcentral is "bacterial SSU rRNA". It matches the Rfam family "Bacterial small subunit ribosomal RNA", at positions 523 to 898 of the family's 1533-position model. The record is from RNAcentral.
AUACGUAGGUGGCAAGCGUUGUCCGGAUUUAUUGGGCGUAAAGCGAGCGCAGGCGGUUUCUUAAGUCUGAUGUGAAAGCCCCCGGCUCAACCGGGGAGGGUCAUUGGAAACUGGGAGACUUGAGUGCAGAAGAGGAGAGUGGAAUUCCAUGUGUAGCGGUGAAAUGCGUAGAUAUAUGAAGGAACACCAGUGGCGAAGGCGGCUUGCUGGGCCAUUACUGACGCUGAGACACGAAAGCGUGGGGAGCAAAUAGGAUUAGAUACCCUGGUAGUCCACGCCGUAAACGAUGAGUGCUAAGUGUUGGAGGGUUUCCGCCCUUCAGUGCUGCAGCUAACGCAUUAAGCACUCCGCCUGGGGAGUACGACCGCAAGGUUGAA